CCAGCAGCCCCCUUUUUUUCCAGACAAGGGUGUGAACCCGCCUGGGGAUGAGGCCUGGUCCUGUGGAAACUGGACUUAGCUUCGCGGGGCAGACCGCUCUGGCCCAGGGUGGUAGGUAAC
RNAcentral lists this long non-coding RNA (120 nucleotides) under Chinchilla lanigera (long-tailed chinchilla). Its description in RNAcentral is "Nuclear enriched abundant transcript 1 conserved region 1 (ENSCLAG00000019266.1)". It matches the Rfam family "Nuclear enriched abundant transcript 1 conserved region 1". Lineage: Eukaryota; Metazoa; Chordata; Mammalia; Rodentia; Chinchillidae. The record is from RNAcentral.